UUGCAUCUGGAAAUGUCUGCUCUUCAUUCCUUUGGGAGCAGAAAUACAUCCUCAACAUGCUAAAUUUAAAAAGGAGUUAUCAGGGCUGCCAACCUUAAAGUAGAGUUUGAGUGGUAGUAUAUACUCCUACAUAA
Small nucleolar RNA from Callithrix jacchus (white-tufted-ear marmoset), 134 nucleotides. Lineage: Eukaryota; Metazoa; Chordata; Mammalia; Primates; Cebidae. The record is from Ensembl.